UAUUUUAUUCAACAAUCAAUAAGAUAAACAUACAUAGACGUACUUCCCCAUCACCCUUCUACUUUUAUGUCUUCUAAGAACUUCAGGUGACCACUGGGACUAAAGGUGGAGCCAAGCCUUUUCAGCCUUCCCCACUGACCCCAAGCACUGUGUGCUCCACACAAAGCCAUGCGCAGCCAGUGGAAUGUGGACAAUUCCUCGAUGUUCUGGCAUGGACAUGAUCUCCUUCGUGCUUCCAACACGGGAUUCCGAUCAAUAAGUUGGGGCCCCAAGCUUCUUCAGGAAAACAGUUUUUAUUUGUGCUAGCAGAUUCAUCCAAACUUCUGUUUCAAAGAACCAAGCCCCAAAGGCUCACUAGACGGAGCCUUUUGGAUUUUGCGUCUUUGUCUCCCAUACAUGGACCCCCCACCAUAGUGACAUGGUGGCAGAACAGGAAGGGAAACUAAUCACCCCACAUCAUCCCCAAGACUUGUGAACGACUGCUCUUUCUGUACUGAGUACUCACAGAUGUGGAAACAGACCCACAGGGAACUCACGGGGCUAUCGGCAAUAGAGGCACCAUCAGUCCCAGCACCAAGUCCCAUCAGGGAAGUAGCCAAACUCUGUGUGAAAUAAUUAAAAAAUUAUUUUUCACUUUCUUAAUUUCUUUUCAAAAAUUUUAUAAAUGUAUAUUGUAUUUAUAUCAUUCCUCCCCUUCCUCUCCUCCUAUGCCCCCACCUUGUGCUCCCUUUCAAAUUCUUGUAUUUACA
This 749-nucleotide long non-coding RNA is filed under the name Cricetulus griseus (Chinese hamster). RNAcentral describes it as "lncRNA (ENSCGRG00015013886.2)". Lineage: Eukaryota; Metazoa; Chordata; Mammalia; Rodentia; Cricetidae. The record is from RNAcentral.